GAUUAACGCUGGCGGCGUGCCUAACACAUGCAAGUCGAACGAGGUAGCAAUACCUAGUGGCAGACGGGUGAGUAACGCGUGGUCAACCUACCGUUGAGUGGGGGAUAACUAGCCGAAAGGUUAGCUAAUACCGCAUACGUCUCCGAGUGGCAUCACUUGGCGAUAAAAGGAGCAAUCCGCUCGAUGACGGGACCGCGUCCCAUUAGCUAGAUGGUGGGGUAACGCCUACCAUGGCACCGAUGGGUAGCUGGUUUGAGAGAGCGACCAGCCACACUGGGACUGAGAAACGGCCCAGACUCCUACGGGAGGCAGCAGUGAGGAAUUUUCCGCAAUGGGCGCAAGCCUGACGGAGCGACGCCGCGUGUGGGAAGAAGGCCUUCGGUCGUAAC
RNAcentral lists this ribosomal RNA (389 nucleotides) under uncultured bacterium. Its description in RNAcentral is "bacterial SSU rRNA". It matches the Rfam family "Bacterial small subunit ribosomal RNA", at positions 28 to 429 of the family's 1533-position model. The record is from RNAcentral.